CCUACGGGUGGCAGCAGUGGGGAAUAUUGGGCAAUGGGCGCAAGCCUGACCCAGCAACGCCGCGUGAAGGAAGAAGGCUUUCGGGUUGUAAACUUCUUUUAUGAGGGACGAAACAAAUGACGGUACCUCAUGAAUAAGCCACGGCUAACUACGUGCCAGCAGCCGCGGUAAUACGUAGGUGGCAAGCGUUAUCCGGAUUUACUGGGUGUAAAGCGCAUGCAGGUGGUUUGUUAAGUCAGAUGUGAAAGCCCGGGGCUCAACCUCGGAAUAGCAUUUGAAACUGGCAGACUAGAGUACUGUAGAGGGGGGUAGAAUUUCAGGUGUAGCGGUGAAAUGCGUAGAGAUCUGAAGGAAUACCGGUGGCGAAGGCGGCCCCCUGGACAGAUACUGACACUCAGAUGCGAAAGCGUGGGGAGCAAACAGGAUUAGAUACCCGGGUAGUC
Molecule: ribosomal RNA, 443 nt
Filed under: uncultured Vibrio sp.
Lineage: Bacteria; Pseudomonadati; Pseudomonadota; Gammaproteobacteria; Vibrionales; Vibrionaceae
Description: bacterial SSU rRNA
Rfam family: Bacterial small subunit ribosomal RNA
Source: RNAcentral